AGCGGAGGAAAAGAAACUANCANGGAUUCCCCUAGUAANUGCGAGUGAAGCGGGAAAAGCUCAAAUUUAAAAUCUGGUGGUCUUUGGCCGUCCGAGUUGUAAUUUAGAGAAGCGUCUUCCGCGCUGGACCGUGCACAAGUCUCCUGGAAUGGAGCGUCAUAGAGGGUGAGAAUCCCGUCUUUGGCACGGACACACCAGGGCUUUUGUGAUGCGCUCUCGAAGAGUCGAGUUGUUUGGGAAUGCAGCUCAAAAUGGGUGGUGAACUCCAUCUAAAGCUAAAUAUUGGCGAGAGNCCGAUAGCGAACAAGUACCGUGAGGGAAAGAUGAAAAGCACUUUGGAAAGAGAGUGAAACAGUACGUGAAAUUGUUGAAAGGGAAACGCUUGAAGUCAGUCGCGUCGACCGAGACUCAGCCUUGCCUUGGCUUGGUGUACUUCUCGGCUGACGGGUCAGCAUCAAUUUUGCCCCUUGGAUAAUGGUGAGGGAAAUGUGACACCUUUACGGUGUGUUAUAGUCUCUUGUCGCAUGCAAGGGUCGGGAUUGAGGAACUCAGCACGCGCCUUUGGGCGUCGGGGCUUUGCCCACGAUACGUGCUUAGGAUGUUGGCAUAAUGGCUUUAAACGACC
This 625-nucleotide ribosomal RNA is filed under the name uncultured Russulaceae. Its description in RNAcentral is "LSU rRNA". It matches the Rfam family "Eukaryotic large subunit ribosomal RNA", at positions 49 to 649 of the family's 3401-position model. The record is from RNAcentral. Lineage: Eukaryota; Fungi; Basidiomycota; Agaricomycetes; Russulales; Russulaceae.